RNAcentral lists this ribosomal RNA (520 nucleotides) under uncultured bacterium. RNAcentral describes it as "bacterial SSU rRNA". It matches the Rfam family "Bacterial small subunit ribosomal RNA", at positions 18 to 518 of the family's 1533-position model. The record is from RNAcentral.
CCUGGCUUAGAACGAACGCUGGCGGCGUGCUUAACACAUGCAAGUCGAACGCGAAAGGGACUUCGGUCCUGAGUAAAGUGGCGCACGGGUGAGUAACGCGUAGAUAACCUGUCUUCAUGUCUGGAAUAAUACGCCGAAAGGGGUACUAAUACCGGAUAUUCUUGCUUUUCAUAAGUUAUGCAAGCAAAGGUGGCCUCUGCAUAUGCUACUGCAUGAAGAGGGGUCUGCGUACCAUUAGCUAGUAGGUGGGGUAAUGGCCUACCUAGGCGACGAUGGUUAGCGGGUCUGAGAGGAUGAUCCGCCACACUGGCACUGGAACACGGGCCAGACUCCUACGGGAGGCAGCAGUGAGGAAUAUUGCGCAAUGGGGGAAACCCUGACGCAGCGACGCCGCGUGAGUGAGGAAGGCCUUCGGGUCGUAAAGCUCUGUCAAGAGGAAAGAAGUGUACAAUGGCUAAUACCUGUUGUAUUUGACGGUACCUCUAAAGGAAGCACCGGCUAACUCCGUGCCAGCCGCGGC